CAACUCUCAAGCUCUGCUUGGCACUGGGUGUCACCUUGCAAUUGUGGUGCAUCUCAAAAUCAGUGGCAGUGCCAUCUGGCCCCGAGUGUAGUAAAUUUCUCGCUUUGGAGGCUUUGAUAUACGCUUGCCAACAACAAAUUUUUAAG
RNAcentral lists this unclassified non-coding RNA (146 nucleotides) under uncultured Leotiomycetes. Its description in RNAcentral is "sequence contains ITS2". The record is from RNAcentral. Lineage: Eukaryota; Fungi; Ascomycota; Leotiomycetes.